Molecule: long non-coding RNA, 2238 nt
Organism: Piliocolobus tephrosceles (Ugandan red Colobus)
Lineage: Eukaryota; Metazoa; Chordata; Mammalia; Primates; Cercopithecidae
Source: Ensembl
AUGGAAAUUUUCAUCAACAAAAAAGUAGAAUAUAAUAAAGAAAAUAAAAAAAAAAGAUUAACUAAAAGAAAUAAUAAUAAAAAUAGAAAAAUAUGUGAACCAAACGAUUAUAAGAAAAUACAUAACACAAUACAUAAUAAAAAAUUUGACAUUACAUCUGCAACUGAAUCCAACGAAACAAGUAGUAAUAAUAAUGAUAAUAAUGAUAAUAAUAAUAAUAAUGAUAAUAAUAAUAAUAAUAAUAAUAAUGAUAAUAAUAAUAAUAAUGAUAAUAAUAAUAAUAAUAAUAGCGAAUUCGAAAUUUCAGACGAAAGUAAAAAACAAUUAAUUAAUACAUAUUAUUAUAAACUAUUAGUAGAAGUUUUUGUCCCUCUUUUGAUUUGUGUUGAUACUAAAGUAGCAUAUAAAAAAAAUAUAUUCACAAAAAUAAAUAAUUAUUUAUUUAACCAUGCAAUAUCUUUUAAGCGUUUAAAAAAAGAGGAUAUGUUAUUAAUAAUGAAACAAGAAAAUGGUAAGUUAUAUAAUAUAUUUUUAAAUCAUUUAAAAUUAAAUUUGAAAAAUAUUAAUAGUAUAUAUAGAGCUUUUGUUAUUUUAUUAAAUAGUAGAAGACAUUUUGAUAAACAUGUAUGGGAUCAUGAAAUACAAAUAAAUGAGGACGUAAUGAAAAUAAUAAAAGAGUAUGAACUUAAAAAUAUUCAAUCAAGAGCUGAACAUGUAUUAUUUGGUGAUUUAAAUAUUUAUACACAUUCAAAAAGUAGUGAUCAAAUACAUAGGGAUAAAAUGGAUAAGAAUAAAAUGGAUAAGGAUGAUGAAGAAUAUAAAUUACAAAAUGGUAUUACUGAUACAUCAAUAAAUCUAAAAUUAGACACUUCAAUUGAAGCGACUAAAUAUAUUAUGGCUAGCACUGAAAAAAUGUCCAAUAAUAGUACUAGUAAUAAUGAUACUUUUCAAACGAAUAUAAAUAAUACAACUAACAUAAUAACAAAUAUAAAUUCUUUUAUACUCUCUAAAAACAAAACAAAGAAAGAUCGAAAUAAAAAAGAAGAGCUUAAUAAUGAGUAUACGAAAAAAGAUAUUAUGUCUAAUAAAGGGUUAUUAAAUAGUUGGGAUAAUUUUGAGCAAUUAGAUAACCCAAGUGAAGAAUUCGGAACCGACGCAGUAACAGGUAAACAAAAUAAUUUCGUCACUAACGAUAGUAAUGGCAACAAUAUCGAUUAUAAUAAUGACCAAAAUAAACACGUUUCUUUUAAACAUGGUAUAUCAGGUAUACUAAAAAAUAAUAAUAAUAAUAAUAAUAAUAAUAAUAAUAACAUACAUUAUAAGGAUGGUAAGUUUCGUAGUAAUAGUAUAAUGUUACUUGAAGGGGAUGAAGAUUAUACGCUAUUCGAGGAACAAUUAAUAAUUACUAUUCCAAACUGUGAUUUACUUAGUCAUAAAAAUAAAAUAUACAACGAUAAUUUUUAUAUGUAUAUUUCUAGUAGUGAUGACGAUAGUGAUGACGAUAGUGAUGACGAUAGUGAUGAUGAUAGUGAUGAUGAUAGUGGUGAAAAAAAAAGUGGCGAGGAAAAAAAAAUAUUGAUAAAAAAAAAAGGGACAAGCACUACAGAGUCACCCAAUUUAGUUGGAAAAGCAAAAACAGAGGAAACAUCAAGUUAUUAUAAAAAUAUGAAAUACUUAAAAAGAAAAUAUAAAAAAUUAGUAUAUUUAAAUCAACGUUUCAACUUUUAUCAAAACUUUAAAAACAUGCAAAAAUUAAACAUAAAUGAUAACUGUUUAUAUUGGAUUGAAUUAUUAAAUAUAUUAAAAGAAGAUAAUGUACCUCCAAAAAUUGUUUACUCAAAUGAAAUAAAAACAAUUAACCCUUGUGAAUAUUUUGAGUCAUCUCUUAUAUUUUCUUUUAGUGUUAUAAAAUUUAUUUCUCUAAUUUUAAAUUCGAAUAAACUAUAUAGCAUAUGUUUAUCAUAUUUAAAAAAUUCAAGCAAGCAUGAUAAACCCGAUAAAAUAUAUAAUGAACAAAACAUUCAUAUUGAAAAAAAUAAAAUGGAAGAAAUGUAUUUUAUACAAUCAUUAUUUACAUCAACCAAAUUAGAAGCCUUAUGCUCAUUUAUUAUUAAACAAGUAUGUACUUACUUGCAAAAUGAUAAAACACCUUUCCACUUACCUAUUAUCAAAACUUUAGCUAUUAUAUCCAUAUUAAAGCCUUCUUCCUAUUUUUUGAUUAAUUCAAAACGGAAGUAG